This 856-nucleotide ribosomal RNA is filed under the name Escherichia coli. RNAcentral's name for it is "partial 23S ribosomal RNA". It matches the Rfam family "Bacterial large subunit ribosomal RNA", at positions 419 to 1276 of the family's 2925-position model. Lineage: Bacteria; Pseudomonadati; Pseudomonadota; Gammaproteobacteria; Enterobacterales; Enterobacteriaceae. The record is from RNAcentral.
GGGACACGUGGUAUCCUGUCUGAAUAUGGGGGGACCAUCCUCCAAGGCUAAAUACUCCUGACUGACCGAUAGUGAACCAGUACCGUGAGGGAAAGGCGAAAAGAACCCCGGCGAGGGGAGUGAAAAAGAACCUGAAACCGUGUACGUACAAGCAGUGGGAGCCUCUUAAUGGGGUGACUGCGUACCUUUUGUAUAAUGGGUCAGCGACUUAUAUUCUGUAGCAAGGUUAACCGAAUAGGGGAGCCGAAGGGAAACCGAGUCUUAACUGGGCGUUAAGUUGCAGGGUAUAGACCCGAAACCCGGUGAUCUAGCCAUGGGCAGGUUGAAGGUUGGGUAACACUAACUGGAGGACCGAACCGACUAAUGUUGAAAAAUUAGCGGAUGACUUGUGGCUGGGGGUGAAAGGCCAAUCAAACCGGGAGAUAGCUGGUUCUCCCCGAAAGCUAUUUAGGUAGCGCCUCGUGAAUUCAUCUCCGGGGGUAGAGCACUGUUUCGGCAAGGGGGUCAUCCCGACUUACCAACCCGAUGCAAACUGCGAAUACCGGAGAAUGUUAUCACGGGAGACACACGGCGGGUGCUAACGUCCGUCGUGAAGAGGGAAACAACCCAGACCGCCAGCUAAGGUCCCAAAGUCAUGGUUAAGUGGGAAACGAUGUGGGAAGGCCCAGACAGCCAGGAUGUUGGCUUAGAAGCAGCCAUCAUUUAAAGAAAGCGUAAUAGCUCACUGGUCGAGUCGGCCUGCGCGGAAGAUGUAACGGGGCUAAACCAUGCACCGAAGCUGCGGCAGCGACACUAUGUGUUGUUGGGUAGGGGAGCGUUCUGUAAGCCUGUGAAGGUGUGCUGUGAGGCAUGCUGG